RNAcentral lists this microRNA (22 nucleotides) under Aedes aegypti (yellow fever mosquito). RNAcentral describes it as "Aae-Mir-184_5p* (star (passenger))". Lineage: Eukaryota; Metazoa; Arthropoda; Insecta; Diptera; Culicidae. The record is from RNAcentral.
CCUUAUCAUUCUUGCGCCCCGU